UACGAAGGUGGCUAGCGUUGUUCGGAUUUAUUGGGCGUAAAGGGUCCGCAGGCGGUUUGAUAAGUCAGGUGUGAAAUCCCACAGCUUAACUGUGGACACGCACUCGAUACUGUCAGACUUGAGUAUGAGAGGGGUAAGAGGAAUUUCCAGUGUAGGGGUGAAAUCCGUAGAUAUUGGAAAGAACACCGAUGGCGAAGGCACUCUACUGGGCUAUUACUGACACUCAGAGACGAAAGCUAGGGGAGCAAAUGGG
Molecule: ribosomal RNA, 253 nt
Filed under: uncultured bacterium
Lineage: Bacteria
Description: partial 16S ribosomal RNA
Rfam family: Bacterial small subunit ribosomal RNA
Source: RNAcentral